RNAcentral lists this ribosomal RNA (425 nucleotides) under Fusobacteriota bacterium. Its description in RNAcentral is "Fusobacteria bacterium partial 16S ribosomal RNA". It matches the Rfam family "Bacterial small subunit ribosomal RNA", at positions 355 to 776 of the family's 1533-position model. The record is from RNAcentral. Lineage: Bacteria; Fusobacteriati; Fusobacteriota.
UGAGGAAUAUUGGUCAAUGGAGGAAACUCUGAACCAGCCAAGUCGCGUGAAGGAAGAAUGUCCUAAGGAUUGUAAACUUCUUUAGCGAGCGAGUAAGGACUUCCACGUGAUGGGAGUUUGAAAGUAGCUCGAGAAUAAGUAUCGGCUAACUCCGUGCCAGCAGCCGCGAUAAUACGGAGGAUACGAGCGUUAUCCGGAUUUAUUGGGUUUAAAGGGUGCGCAGGUGGUCCUGCAAGCCAGUGGUGAAAAGCUGAGGCUCAACCUCAGCCUUGCCGUUGAAACUGCAAGACUUGAGAGUACAUGAUGUGGGCGGAAUGCGUAGUGUAGCGGUGAAAUGCAUAGAUAUUACGCAGAACUCCGAUUGCGAAGGCAGCUCACAAAGGUAUGUCUGACACUGAGGCACGAAAGCGUGGGGAGCAAACAGG